RNAcentral lists this ribosomal RNA (498 nucleotides) under Alternaria alternata. Its description in RNAcentral is "eukaryotic LSU rRNA". It matches the Rfam family "Eukaryotic large subunit ribosomal RNA", at positions 96 to 604 of the family's 3401-position model. Lineage: Eukaryota; Fungi; Ascomycota; Dothideomycetes; Pleosporales; Pleosporaceae. The record is from RNAcentral.
AAGCGGCAACAGCUCAAAUUUGAAAUCUGGCUCUUUUAGAGUCCGAGUUGUAAUUUGCAGAGGGCGCUUUGGCUUUGGCAGCGGUCCAAGUUCCUUGGAACAGGACGUCACAGAGGGUGAGAAUCCCGUACGUGGUCGCUGGCUAUUGCCGUGUAAAGCCCCUUCGACGAGUCGAGUUGUUUGGGAAUGCAGCUCUAAAUGGGAGGUACAUUUCUUCUAAAGCUAAAUAUUGGCCAGAGACCGAUAGCGCACAAGUAGAGUGAUCGAAAGAUGAAAAGCACUUUGGAAAGAGAGUCAAACAGCACGUGAAAUUGUUGAAAGGGAAGCGCUUGCAGCCAGACUUGCUUACAGUUGCUCAUCCGGGUUUUUACCCGGUGCACUCUUCUGUAGGCAGGCCAGCAUCAGUUUGGGCGGUAGGAUAAAGGUCUCUGUCACGUACCUCCUUUCGGGGAGGCCUUAUAGGGGAGACGACAUACUACCAGCCUGGACUGAGGUCCG